UCCGACGUAGUGUAACGGUUAUCAUACAGCGCUUUCACCGCUGGGACCCGGGUUCGACUCCCGGCGCCGGAA
Transfer RNA from Escovopsis weberi, 72 nucleotides. It matches the Rfam family "tRNA". From Rfam's summary of the family: Transfer RNA (tRNA) molecules are approximately 80 nucleotides in length. Their secondary structure includes four short double-helical elements and three loops (D, anti-codon, and T loops). Lineage: Eukaryota; Fungi; Ascomycota; Sordariomycetes; Hypocreales; Hypocreaceae. The record is from Rfam.